GAGUUUGAUCGUGGCUCAGAUUGAACGCUGGCGGCAUGCCUAACACAUGCAAGUCGAGCGGGGUGUAGCAAUACAUCCAGCGGCGGACGGGUGAGGAAUACGUAGGAAUUUGCCUUAGAGCGGGGGAUAGCCCAGGGAAACUUGGAGUAAUACCGCAUGAUGUCGAAAGACCAAAGCAGGGGACCGCAAGGCCUUGCACUCUAAGAGAAGCCUACGUCUGAUUAGCUAGUUGGUGAGGUAAUGGCUCACCAAGGCGACGAUCAGUAACUGGUCUGAGAGGACGAUCAGUCACACUGGAACUGAGACACGGUCCAGACUCCUACGGGAGGCAGCAGUGGGGAAUAUUGGACAAUGGGCGAAAGCCUGAUCCAGCAAUGCCGCGUGUGUGAAGAAGGCCUUCGGUU
Molecule: ribosomal RNA, 404 nt
Filed under: uncultured Gammaproteobacteria bacterium
Lineage: Bacteria; Pseudomonadati; Pseudomonadota; Gammaproteobacteria
Description: bacterial SSU rRNA
Rfam family: Bacterial small subunit ribosomal RNA
Source: RNAcentral